This 415-nucleotide ribosomal RNA is filed under the name uncultured bacterium. Its description in RNAcentral is "partial 16S ribosomal RNA". It matches the Rfam family "Bacterial small subunit ribosomal RNA", at positions 355 to 762 of the family's 1533-position model. The record is from RNAcentral.
UGGGGAAUAUUGCACAAUGGGCGCAAGCCUGAUGCAGCCAUGCCGCGUGUGUGAAGAAGGCCUUCGGGUUGUAAAGCACUUUCAGCGAGGAGGAAGGUGGUGAACUUAAUACGUUCAUCAAUUGACGUUACUCGCAGAAGAAGCACCGGCUAACUCCGUGCCAGCAGCCGCGGUAAUACGGAGGGUGCAAGCGUUAAUCGGAAUUACUGGGCGUAAAGCGCACGCAGGCGGUUUGUUAAGUCAGAUGUGAAAUCCCCGGGCUCAACCUGGGAACUGCAUUUGAAACUGGCAAGCUAGAGUCUCGUAGAGGGGGGUAGAAUUCCAGGGUGUAGCGGUGAAUGCGUAGAGAUCUGGAGGAAUACCGGUGGCGAAGGCGGCCCCCUGGACGAAGACUGACGCUCAGGUGCGAAAGCGU